AGGAAUGGAACUUUGGGCCAUGCGGUGAGUGUUACAGCUCUAUUAGAAGCCGUGGGUCACAGAAGAGAACCGUGGAACCUAGAGACCAGUGUUCAGCUCGAUUGGGACGAACCUGGGCACUUAGCCGUGCAGAAACAAUGGCGAGCCUUUAGCCGGAUCGGGAGCAGUAAUGGGUGCCUCCAUGGACAGCGGACACCCUGCCGGAUCCAGAGGGGUGGAAGUCAGCGGCGGGUCUGCGAUGUGGGCAAACAACAGUGGUGGACAGGUUGUCUUGAAGAUCUUAGAAGAUAACUUAAGUGAGGGGGGCUGGAGAAAAAAUUUAGACCCUAUGGAGGCAUAUAAGGAAUCUGCUCUUUUAGAACAUAUUUUUGAAAUUUGGUGAGAUUGGACUCUUACGAGGAGUGAUUGAGAAGCUGCACUCUCAGAGAGUGAAGAACUCAAUUCCAGGUGACUACAGCACAGGAUGCAGGAAGCCAGUAGGUUUGGUUUAGGCAAAUUUCAAGAAGAGCAGUAUGGGCAUGGAACCAGGCUGGAGGUGGGAUUGGAGACACAGAUAGAAAGAAAUUAUUGG
This 571-nucleotide long non-coding RNA is filed under the name Homo sapiens (human). RNAcentral's name for it is "HSALNT0125914". Lineage: Eukaryota; Metazoa; Chordata; Mammalia; Primates; Hominidae. The record is from RNAcentral.